UACGGAGGGAGCUAGCGUUAUUCGGAAUUACUGGGCGUAAAGCGCACGUAGGCGGCUUUGUAAGUAAGAGGUGAAAGCCUGGAGCUCAACUCCAGAACUGCCUUUUAGACUGCAUCGCUUGAAUCCAGGAGAGGUGAGUGGAAUUCCGAGUGUAGAGGUGAAAUUCGUAGAUAUUCGGAAGAACACCAGUGGCGAAGGCGGCUCACUGGACUGGUAUUGACGCUGAGGUGCGAAAGCGUGGGGAGCAAACAGG
RNAcentral lists this ribosomal RNA (253 nucleotides) under uncultured bacterium. Its description in RNAcentral is "partial 16S ribosomal RNA". It matches the Rfam family "Bacterial small subunit ribosomal RNA", at positions 524 to 776 of the family's 1533-position model. The record is from RNAcentral. RNAcentral also lists the same sequence under 1 other name.